UACGGGGGGGGUAAGCGUUGUUCGGAAUUACUGGGCGUAAAGGGCUCGUAGGCGGCCAACUAAGUCAUACGUGAAAUCCCUCAGCUUAACUGGGGAACUGCGUGUGAUACUGGAUGGCUUGGAUUUGGGAGAGGGAUGCGGAAUUCCAGGUGUAGCGGUGAAAUGCGUAGAUAUCUGGAGGAACACCGGUGGCGAAGGCAGCCUUCUGGGCCAACACUGACGCUCAUGCACGAAAGCGUGGGGAGCAAACAGG
Molecule: ribosomal RNA, 253 nt
Filed under: uncultured bacterium
Lineage: Bacteria
Description: partial 16S ribosomal RNA
Rfam family: Bacterial small subunit ribosomal RNA
Source: RNAcentral